GGCGGGGCUGGAGCCGGGAGCCCACAGCCCGGAGCCUGCCAAGCGGCGCGCACAGACCCCGCUGCAGCUGCGGGGGCGAUACUGAACCAGUAGUGAAAAAUCUUCCUCCAACUGAAACUCGGAGCACAGAUGGCUUCACUGGCAGAGUCUAGCAAAUGUGCGGGAAGGAAAGAUGGAAGCCUCGUACAGACCCUUCCAGAUAACAGGAAAAAGGAGGAACAAGCCCGACUCUUCUCUUGAGGACAGCCCCAACGUGGACACCAGAGCCUGAGGAGAGCAAGUCAACAGUCACCUGCAACGGCGACUUCAACCCUGACUCCUGGCUCAACAGGCAGACGGCAGCGAUCGGCUCACAGUCCGGGAAGGACGGCGGUGCGAGGCGGUUGGCAACCGUGGGGUCGUUUGUGGCGUCUUACACGUGCCAAGGACACGCGCCUGCCUUCUUCCCCUCAAAGCAAAGCUCAGUGGUUAAAACCUUCCCCUUCCCGCCUGCUCUUCUCUCCCAAGACGUCACGCAAAUGUCCGAGCACGCAGGCAGGUCGAAAGCCUCGCAAGUGACAGGCACACAGCCGGCGUCCGGACUGCGGGUGACCCGCUGCCGUGUUUACCUGGUGGCCGUCUCUCCGCGUCCUGCAGCCGUCAGACUCCCGCCGCAUUGCACGGCGCGUCGCCGGCCUCAGCGCGAGCCACCCCUGCACACGGCAGGUGCUCCGCAGUCCUGGGGUUCGGCGCGCCUCCAGCCGCCCCCUCGGGGAGGAGAAAGUUGCCGCCCGGGGAGUUUUGCCCGUAGCGCGCCCCGUGCCGUCCAGCCCCUCCUGGAGAACAAACGGCAGGUGCGGUCCCCCAGCAGAGAGCUCCUCACGCACCUGGCAGCCAGUCCCUGCCUGGGACCUCAGGGCGGCGUCUGCAGACUGGUUUGGUGGAAGGUCACCGCUGGGGACCCAGCAGCGUGCGUCUUCCCACGCUGCCACGAGCGUCAGUUGCCGGCUCCUCGCAGACGCUAGUCUGCCGCAGGGCUUCACCACGGCUUCUUUUCCGUUCUCCGGUGGAAGGGCGCCGGGCGCUUUCCAGUGUGGGUCUGUUAUGGGCAGAAAGGCGGCAAACUUUCCUGCCAGCGGCCUCCGAAAACGGCACUUUCUCAUCCGUGGCCGUCGGGUUUCUGCAGCUCGGACAGCAGAGGGCGGCCCUGAGCCAGCGACCGAAGCCCGGAGUCCCCAGAGCGCCGAUGUUCGCAGAACUCAGUGUGCCACGUCCCUUGCGCCACGUUCCUUGCGCCACGUCCCACCACUGCCCCCUGAGUAACAGACCGUGGGAACGGAGUCGUUACAGUGUAAAAGAAAGUCACAGCCGCAGGCCCCGUGAGGAGCCGGCCCCGCAGGUCGUUCCUUGAGGAAGUCCCGGCUGAGCUCCCAGGAGCAGGACGCGCGACUCGCACCCGUGUCCCGCAACCGACGCUGAAGCCCGCGCGGCCCCACAGUGACGGCGAGCCGCAGGUCCUGGCACAGGUGGCAGAACCGGAGACGAGACGGGAUCGGGCGUCCUGCCACCGCCGGGGCAGCUGCCUGGCUGACGCUCCAUUGCUCCCCAAGCCACGUGAAAUGCGAAACGUGGCUUCCCGGCCACGCGGGGCCGUGACCACCGCCCGCCCGCCCGCCUCCCCCUCCGCUCCGCUGCUGUGCAGUGCCGGCGCCCCGGCCUCCCUCGGCAGAGCAGCCGUGGCUCGCCUGCGGUUCGCGUUUUUCCCGGCGCGUCCUCAAAAUCUCGGCUCAAUAAACCUCCGUGGGUCGAGAUUUCUGCCUCGGUCGUUUCCGUGGGCCGACGGGACCAGACAUCCAGGAGUCUGGUCAGACGUGGCGACUCCUCACUGUCGACGAGCCGGGCACUGAGCGGCCGUCACUGGUGGCCCCGUCGCGGCGGGCUUCACCUCUGGACGGGAGCCCACCCACACGGGGCCUGCCUGGCGGAGGAGAGAUGAGGGCCUCCUGCCCUCAGGCCUCACCUGCGCCACCCUCACCUGUGCUUCUCUCACCUGCCCUGCCUUCACCUGCGCUGCCCUCACCUGCACUGUACUCGCCUGUGCUGCCCUCACCUGUGCCGCCCUCACCUGUGCCGCCCUCACCUGUGCCGCCCUCACCUGUGCCGCCCUCACCUGUGCCGCCCUCACCUGUGCUGCCCCCCACACACACACACAGGGAGCAAGGCUAGAGCUGUGCUGAGGGAGCCCCUCCCCAGGCGAGAAGCCUCAAGAGUGAGAACCGUCGCCCCACCCGGUUUCUGCCCCCCUUACCCUCGCAGCUGCUGCGCCUGGUAAGAGGAGGGUUAAACUAAACUAAAUGCAGCCUACACACACCCCCCCAUGAUCCUGUGGCCCCUCCCCUGGUGCAGCGGCCCAGCCAGGUGUGGCGGGUGGGGCCUGGGACUCCCUGUGCCCUGCGGUGGCCCAGGUGGGGUCACUGCGCCCGCCCGCGGCCUGGGGGGCCCUGGCUCUCCAUCACCUCCCAGCGGGGCUCACUCACAGGCGCCCGUCCGCGCAGGGCUGCUGCCAAAGCAGGCGGCUUAGACCAGAGCCUGGAGGCCGGUGCUGGGGCAGCGCUCAGGGCCACUGAAGGCCGCGCUGCACCUCUGUCCCUCCCACGGCAUUGGCGCCGGGCUCAGAGCACCUGCUGCCCACCCCAGGCAGGCCGACCUGGCCAGAGAAACAGGGCCGUGCGCCUAGCCCUGUGUGCUCUGCCUUCCGGAACCCUCUCCAGCCCCCGCACGGCGGGGCGUCCUCACCUCCACUCCACACACGGGAGGCGGGGGGCCGGCCCGGGCCAUGCUGCUCCCCUGUUUCCCUCCUUCCUUCGUCCCAUUCAGGAGGACCUGGCUGGCCGUGCCCCCAGCCCCCACCCCAGGGACACAGCAGGGGGGAGGGGACCACCCCAGCCUGCAAAGGCUCAGGGAGCAGAGUCCAGGGGACCCCGAGGGCCACCAGACGGGGACACAGGGUUCGGCCCGCAGCUCUGCAGCCUGAGGCCAGCUCCCUCCCCAGGACAGACCACAGCUGGGUGCGAAGGCAUCUCAAGGACCGCAAUGGAGGUGUCACAGGCCGGGCCGAGAGGCUGAUGCAGGCGGCAGGGCUGGGGUGCAGGAGAGGCCCCCCGAGAGGGCGGGUGAAGACCGGGUGCAGCUCCGCGAGCGCCUUCCCCACCCCCAGCAAGACAGGGCCCCUCCCAAGAACAAAACGGUGACAGUGAUGGAGAGCAGGCAGGGCAGCCAGCGGCCAGGAGUGUGAGGCUGGUGGGGGGGCCCCCUCCUUUCCCUAGAUCAACAAAGAAAAGGCUCCUGAGACCAGACCCGCCAAGGACAAAACUGCCGGCCCCGCAGAGAGG
Microcebus murinus (gray mouse lemur) is the source of this 3371-nucleotide non-coding RNA. The record is from RefSeq and is a predicted model, not a curated record. NCBI's taxonomy places the organism in Eukaryota, Metazoa, Chordata, Mammalia, Primates, Cheirogaleidae.